RNAcentral lists this ribosomal RNA (468 nucleotides) under uncultured bacterium. RNAcentral's name for it is "partial 16S ribosomal RNA". It matches the Rfam family "Bacterial small subunit ribosomal RNA", at positions 28 to 507 of the family's 1533-position model. The record is from RNAcentral.
GACGAACGCUGGCGGCGUGCUUAACACAUGCAAGUCGAACGGAAAGGCCCUGCUUUUGUGGGGUGCUCGAGUGGCGAACGGGUGAGUAACACGUGAGUAACCUGCCCUUGACUUUGGGAUAACUUCAGGAAACUGGGGCUAAUACCGGAUAGGAGCUCCUGCUGCAUGGUGGGGGUUGGAAAGUUUCGGCGGUUGGGGAUGGACUCGCGGCUUAUCAGCUUGUUGGUGGGGUAGUGGCUUACCAAGGCUUUGACGGGUAGCCGGCCUGAGAGGGUGACCGGCCACAUUGGGACUGAGAUACGGCCCAGACUCCUAAGGGAGGCAGCAGUGGGGAAUAUUGCACAAUGGGCGGAAGCCUGAUGCAGCAACGCCGCGUGCGGGAUGACGGCCUUCGGGUUGUAAACCGCUUUCGCCUGUGACGAAGCGUGAGUGACGGUAAUGGGUAAAGAAGCACCGGCUAACUCCGUG